GCAAUGAUGAAUAUCUGGUUUUGAUCAGCAAUGACAUGACGGAUUCCUCUAAGAAGUUCUGAGCUC
Small nucleolar RNA from Hippoglossus stenolepis (Pacific halibut), 66 nucleotides. RefSeq annotates it as small nucleolar RNA SNORD61. The transcript has a single exon. Lineage: Eukaryota; Metazoa; Chordata; Actinopteri; Pleuronectiformes; Pleuronectidae. The record is from RefSeq and is a predicted model, not a curated record.